CAGGUUAAAUCUCAUUUUCAAGCGAUAAAAUUGUUUUUUAGCGUUAUUUAAAAAUUCUACGUCGCGUUGCGAAAGGACGAUAGUCGCGAGAAGUUGCUAUGAUCAUUUUUAUUCGAUAAUAUUUGAUCUACUCGGUGAAAUAAUCGGAAAUAAAGUUUAGCCGUUAUUGCUAAGUAACUGGCCAAUAUGGCGGCCACGGCUGACCCCUGACUUAGCCCAAUAAAUUGACCUUCAUGGACCUGUUCUCCCAUUCGUUGACAAUCAUAAAUCGAAAUGUCUUUUAAUCGUUAACGAAUUUAAGAGCAGAAUGAAGCGUUCGGCAGAUUUAACGGUUAAAUAAGCUUUCAUUCGUGAGCCACUCGAUAGACUGUCUUGAAUGGCGACGUCGAACUAUUAAAAACUUGCAUACGACUUUAUCCCUUCAAUUUAGAACUUGGAACACUUAAAAUUAAGUACUUUUGAUAGAUUACUUCCCAAUUAACUUUAAUUCACGUAGGACGCUUCGUUCACAGCGUCACCAAAUCCGGUAUCCCGUGAUGUUUGCAACUGGUCAGAACUUUAUAGGCCUAGUGUCUGCCAUUAUCAAUAUCGCGGUUAAUAUCGAUUUGAUAUUAUCAACAUUACCUUCCAUUUCCGUUAACGAAUAAGUUAAAUGACGAAGCCUUGUUCAUAAUAAAGUAAUAACGGUCACGGUACGCUUAGAACCACGAUUCAAAUACGUAAAAAAAAAGUUAAAAGUAUUCCUUUGCUCUACUUUAAGGUAUAGGCCUAUUAAUUCUAAGGUUAAGGGGUUUACGAACGUUAAUUUAAUUUUAUUUAUAACCUUUAAUAUCUACUUCUCGUCCUCAUAAAAAAAAAAAAUGCUUCUUAACCAAAGGCAACAGCAGCUAAAAGUUCGAAAACGGACGAGAAGUGGACGUAGGCCUAUAUGGCGAAUUGGUGCAACAUGGCGAACAAUUCUGGAUUUCGAUUUUUAAAUUCGCCGCUGACGAGUCCAACUCCGGAGGCUUCACUGACGCGUCUUCCCUCGACCGCUUCUCGGGAGCAACUGGGCACCAUUGCCAGAUGAUGGUCACUUACAUACUCACCCCACUGCCAUCA
Macrobrachium nipponense is the source of this 1101-nucleotide long non-coding RNA. RefSeq lists it as uncharacterized. The record is from RefSeq and is a predicted model, not a curated record. Lineage: Eukaryota; Metazoa; Arthropoda; Malacostraca; Decapoda; Palaemonidae. The transcript is spliced from 3 exons.